RNAcentral lists this ribosomal RNA (468 nucleotides) under uncultured bacterium. RNAcentral describes it as "partial 16S ribosomal RNA". It matches the Rfam family "Bacterial small subunit ribosomal RNA", at positions 28 to 507 of the family's 1533-position model. The record is from RNAcentral.
GACGAACGCUGGCGGCGUGCUUAACACAUGCGAGUCGAACGGAAAGGCCCUGCUUUUGUGGGGUGCUCGAGUGGCGAACGGGUGAGUAACACGUGGGUAACCUGCCCUUGACUUUGGGAUAACUUCAGGAAACUGGGGCUAAUACCGGAUAGGAGCUCCUGCUGCAUGGUGGGGGUUGGAAAGUUUCGGCGGUUGGGGAUGGACUCGCGGAUUAUCAGCUUGUUGGUGGGGUAGUGGCUUACCAAGGCUUUGACGGGUAGCCGGCCUGGGAGGUUGACCGGCCACAUUGGGACUGAGAGACGGCCCAGACGCCUACGGUAGGCAGCAGUGGGGAAUAUUGCAGAAUGGCCGGAAGCCUGAUGCAGCAACGCCGCGUGCGUGAUGACGUCCUUCGGGUUGUAAACCGCUUUCGCCUGUGACGAAGCGUGAGUGACGGUAAUGGGUAAAGAAGCACCGGCUAACUACGUG